This 453-nucleotide long non-coding RNA is filed under the name Anser cygnoides (Swan goose). Its description in RNAcentral is "lncRNA (ENSACDG00005004767.1)". Lineage: Eukaryota; Metazoa; Chordata; Aves; Anseriformes; Anatidae. The record is from RNAcentral.
AUGCUUAGUUUUGACUUUCCCCUGUGGUGCUUUUUAUCUGUGAAUGAAAAGCUUCUUGUCCUCAAAGUCUUGCUGGGGCCUUCCUUCACCUCUCCCUUUUCUCCCAGUUUGCUGAUGCCCCCACCUGUGGCUCUCAGCCCAGACCUGAGCUCCGAGCUCCCUUUGGAAGGCCAGCCCGAGGAAUUAGAGGUGCAGAGCAGGGGCACAGGCAUGACUGGGUGGAUAACAAAGAAAUUCACAGAAAGGACAGGAGACCACAGGAAAGAGUGCAGAGAGGGUAAGUGGGAAAAGGGCUGGAUGUGCAUCAACCAACAAGGAGAACUUGGGCCAGCGUUGAGCUUUGCUGUCUGUCGGUGCGGCGCUGUGAUGCGGUUUCCUGCAGAAUCGCAGUGGAGGAAGGAGCUGGUACAGCUGCGGUGUGAGACAGAGGUCCAGGAUGUGAACUGCAGAUGA